This 72-nucleotide transfer RNA is filed under the name Ameiurus melas (black bullhead). RNAcentral's name for it is "tRNA-Asp". It matches the Rfam family "tRNA". Rfam says of the family: Transfer RNA (tRNA) molecules are approximately 80 nucleotides in length. Their secondary structure includes four short double-helical elements and three loops (D, anti-codon, and T loops). Lineage: Eukaryota; Metazoa; Chordata; Actinopteri; Siluriformes; Ictaluridae. The record is from RNAcentral.
UCCUCGUUAGUAUAGUGGACAGUAUCUCCGCCUGUCACGCGGAAGACCGGGUUCGAUUCCCCGGACGGGGAG